GUGGGGAAUAUUGGACAAUGGGCGAAAGCCUGAUCCAGCCAUGCCGCGUGUGUGAAGAAGGUCUUCGGAUUGUAAAGCACUUUAAGUUGGGAGGAAGGGCAGUAAGUUAAUACCUUGCUGUUUUGACGUUACCGACAGAAUAAGCACCGGCUAACUUCGUGCCAGCAGCCGCGGUAAUACGAAGGGUGCAAGCGUUAAUCGGAAUUACUGGGCGUAAAGCGCGCGUAGGUGGUUUUGUAAGUUGGAGGUGAAAUCCCCGGGCUCAACCUGAGAACUGCCUCCAAAACUGCAUGACUAGAGUACGGUAGAGGGUAGUGGAAUUUCCUGUGUAGCGGUGAAAUGCGUAGAUAUAGGAAGGAACACCAGUGGCGAAGGCGACUACCUGGACUGAUACUGACACUGAGGUGCGAAAGCGUGGGGAGCAAACAGGAUUAGAAACCCGUGUAGUCC
Molecule: ribosomal RNA, 450 nt
Filed under: uncultured bacterium
Lineage: Bacteria
Description: partial 16S ribosomal RNA
Rfam family: Bacterial small subunit ribosomal RNA
Source: RNAcentral